AUUGAACGCUGGCGGCAGGCCUAACACAUGCAAGUCGAACGAGUGGCGGACGGGUGAGUAAUUUCUGGGAACCUGCCUGAUGGAGGGGGAUAACUACUGGAAACGGUAGCUAAUACCGCAUACCAUCAGAUGUGCUCAGAUGGGAUUAGCUUGUUGGGGGGGUAACGGCUCACCAAGGCGACGAUCCCUAGCUGGGCUGAGAGGGUGACCGGCCACACUGGGACUGAGACACGGCCCAGACUCCUACGGGAGGCAGCAGUAGGGAAUAUUGCACAAUGGGCGCAAGCCUGAUGCAGCCAUGCCGCGUGUAUGAAGAAGGCCUUCGGGUUGUAAAGUACUGUCAGCGGGGAGGCGGUACCCGAAGAAGAAGCACCGGCUAACUCCGUGCCAGCCGCCGCGGUAAUAC
RNAcentral lists this ribosomal RNA (406 nucleotides) under uncultured bacterium. RNAcentral describes it as "partial 16S ribosomal RNA". It matches the Rfam family "Bacterial small subunit ribosomal RNA", at positions 30 to 526 of the family's 1533-position model. The record is from RNAcentral.